CGCCUUCGCACCGACCCGCAGCGCCGCCGCCGCCGCCGCCAUUAUCGCCCGCCCGGCCUGACCCCUCACACCCGCCAGGGCGCCGUGGGAGGCGGAGCCUGAGACGCGGCACACGGGGCUCGGACCGGCGCGGCCUCUUGCGGACGCACGCUAGAGCUUUUCAAUGUCAGAAGAACAAAGUCAAGAUAUGAUGGCAACUGAGGAACUUCAAGCCAUUAUACAAAGAUGCCAAAUUCUAGAAGAAGAAAAUUUCAAAGGAGAAGAUUUUAAUCUUUUUCAAGUAGCAGGCCAGAAGUGCUUAGAAGAAGGUUAUGCAGCAGAAGUAUUAGAAGUAAUUCAAAAUGAGAAAAAUAAGGUUAUUGUCAAGAGUAUGGGCUGGAAUCUUGUUUGUCCUCUUGUUAGAUCCAUUUUGAGUUAUAAGCAGGAAGAUGAGAAGAGAGAACAUUGUCUGAAAAUACUAGAUCAGCUGGUGCAGCUAUGUAAUCCAAAGGAACUUUUAUUGGGUUUACUUGAGCAGAUUGAGCAGACCUCUGGGGAGCAGAUAUCCCAAACUAUUCUGCUCUUGCUUCAACCUCUGCAGACAGUUCUAUUGAAACUUCAUAGCAAGAAGUCAUACUCAGUGGGUUUAUCUUUGUCUACCAUUUUAAAUCAGCUCUCUCUCCUGCCUGUACCUUACACAAAAGAACAAAUACGAGAAGAUAAACUUGGCCUCUGCCAGUGUUGCAAUGCAGUAGUGGAUUUUGCUAAACCUUUUGUGGAUGAAGUUGUUAAAAAUAUGGAAAGCUCAACAGAAAAUGAUGACAAAGAGCUCAAAGAAGAAUUACUAAAAUUUUGUUUGAAAAGCUUGAAAUACCCCUUAUUAAUAGCACAGCUUGAUCAGCUGCAUGAAGACAUUGAAGAAGAUCCCUUAAGGCAUUUUGCAGCUGAAAUUCUAGGCAUAUUAUUGGAUAUAAGAGAAUUAUUACCAACAUUGUUUUUACACCAUGGAAGCAGAAAUCAGAACUGGGAUAAUCAGGAUUUUUUGGAUGUAGAUGGAAAGCAUUCUGCAGAUUCUUUGGCAUGUCUAUCAUAUCUGGUGUAUGUUCAGUAUUUUGGUAUUGAUUGUUUUCCAAUGGUCUUUAGUCCAUCAUAUCUUCUGCAGUGCAACAUGACACAUAUUGAGGUCCUAUUGAAAAGGACAGAAGAAUCUGUAUUAACUAAAGGACUUGACCUGCUUGGAAACUGUUUAUUGAGAAUGGGAGAUAAUAGCCUUCACCACCAGUAUUUGGAAUUCAAAGGCUUCAUUACAGCACCUCAGGAUUUGGUUAAAGUGAUGACCCUUUGUCCUAUAGAGCAUCUGCGAAAGAAGAGUUUGAAGAUAUUGCAGUUAUAUAUAGACAAGUUUGAUGCAGAGGGAAAAUACACUUUGUUCAGGUGUUUAUUGAAGACAAGCAACCACGCUGGCGUAGAAGGCCAUGUUAUACAAAAUAUCAAAAAUCAGAUUGAUUUAUCAUUAAAGAAAGCAAAUGACAGUAAGUGGUUUACUGGACCCCAGCUGGUUUCACUUCUAGAUUUAGUGCUGUUGCUUCCUGAAGGAGCUGAAACAGAUCUUCUCCAAAACUCAGAUAGGAUUAUGGCCUCACUAAAUCUAUUGAGAUAUUUAUUCAUUAAGGAUAACGAAUACGACAAUCAAGUAAGUGAUUGAUUUAAAAAGCUAUCUUUUCAGUUUAAAAACAAUAGCUGUGCCAGUUCAUGACAAAGUUAGCAGCUGCUGCAAAAAAAAGUCUUUAUUCAAUAUCCAGUGAGAAUGUUUUUGUUAAUGGUGUUCAGAAAAUUUUGAAGUUUAUAGUGGUGAAAGUUAAAUGCUUACUCACUGACUAUUUUUUCAGCAAGUUUAGUGUUGUUCUAUCUCCACCAGAAAGCCAGGUCAGCACCUGUAAUUCCAGAUGAUAUCGCCAUAAAAUAAAGUAUAUAGCCAGUAUUCCAAAAAUAAUAAAUAUACUUUUACUUGUAUACAGAUACUUAGGAAGGGUUAACUUCCACCAAGCAUUGUAAAGCUUUUUAGACGGGAUCUUCUACAAACCUUUGAAGUUUUAGAAUUGCUUCAUUAUUCAAGGAAGCCUCUUUAUCAUUUAGUUUUAAGUGGCAUGGAAGAGAAUUUAUUUUAGUGUCAGGGUGUCUCCCUAAGCAUUUUGACAACUCAGCAUUGAAUAGCUUUUGUUUUUAAUCAUGUAAAAAAAAAAAUCCUGUAUUUCCAACCCCUUCUGCAACUGCAUUUUUGGUAAAUGUCAAUAACUCCACUGGGUAUUCAAGCCAAAUCAAUGCUUCUCAGAUCUGCAUUAUUGAAAUAACAUAAGGAUUGAUAUGCCUGUCCCAAAUUAGCAAAAAAUUGCAGAACAUCUUAAACAAUAGAUAUAAAUUAAAAAAACCAAACACUGAUAAUGGAAGAGCUAUUUAUUCUCCUCAGGUUUCCAAAUCCUUCAACUAAAACAAUAUGAAAUAGCUUCCUGGUACUUUCUCAGUUCACCAAGACCCUGCAGCAAUGUUAAUAUAUUUUGCAUAAUAUAUCAUGCUGUGAAAUCCCAAUUCCCCUGUCAAGACAAAGAUUUUCAAACAAAGCAGAUGAUAUUUUGGCAAAAAGGGGUUGGGAGGGAAAUAGGACUAGAUUGUAGUGCUGUAAUUGCUCCUGGCAAAUAUGUUUUAUUGAACUACUUUCUUAGGAUAAAUUUUGUUUCUCUGAGGAGGGGAUAAAUGUUGUUUUGUUUCUCUGAGAGGGGAAAAAACAGUACAUUAUUUCCUCCUAAGGGCAACAUGCUUAAGAUUGUACGCCAUUCUGAUUUUGCAGAUAGCUCUGCUGCUUUGGUUGUGGUCAGGGUUUCCACAUGAGUUUUUUCUGACAGCUAUAGGCUGUGUUUAUCCAUACCUCUGCUCUUAUAUUGACCUCUCUUUUUUGCAUACCCUGUACCUUUUUCUGGCUGGCUACUUCAUUGCUUUACCGGAUAUAGCCUAGAAUGUUUCAUGCAUGAAGACCAUUUAUUAAAGUACCUUACACUGCAAUUUCAGACAGAACACUAUGUCUUAAAUAUGUACAAGCAGGGAAUCAAUACAUUUCUCUCGUGCUUUGAUGUUUGAAUGCAAAUAAUCUGGAAAUUGUUACUAUAGACAAGUGAAACCCUCCAUCCUAUUGUAUUGUCCUAACUGAAAUGGAAAAAAAUAAACAGCAUAAAUGAUAAAGUAUUUUAUAGCCAUUUUGGUGUUAAUAACCUACGGUGUAGGUUGGAAUUGUCAAACAAUUUUUUUAAUAUAUUUUCUUUAAGCUCUAACAGCUCCUAGCCAAUAGCCUGAAAGGGAGAAACAAUGCACCUCUCUAUAUGCUGGAUUCUGGCUGUUUACAAUUUUAUAUAAGUGGUAGAAGUUUUUACUCAACUUCAAUUUAAAGCAAGAUUUUACAGUGUCGGAAAUGUGAUUAACUGUUCAGCUUUAUCAGCAGACCCGUGACUUAUUUUUCUCUUUCUCAUCUGAAGCAGUCAACAAUAUUUAUUAUUGGCUGUGCUAUUUCAGAUCAGCCCAGACCAUGCCAAUCAUUCAACUGUUGUAGUAGCUUUUCAGUGUAAUGUUUUAUGACUGACUGAUCUGUUCUUGUAUGCAAUCACUCCCAUCCAGCUGCAUCUAGAUGGACAAAUGUUCUUAGAUAGCCAAGGAAGCAAUUUCUAUUUAAAUUUCACAACUGGCUUAACAUGAGGUUGCAUUUCUGAGCAGCUGAACUAUAAUUUCUUUAAGUGCCAUAGCCUGCACAGCUUAGCUACAGUAUUGAAGACUGAAGAGCCAUUGGAAUUUUACAUGUUUAAUUUUCUUACUGUACUUCGGUACUGAAAAGGCCACUUAUCUCCAUAACAAAGGCAAGUCCUACUGACUCUUUUCCCGAAGUCAUUAGACACCAACGUUCCUGCAAUUCGUAGAGUUCAACAGUUUUUAUCAUCAACCAGGUCUCAUAGUAAAGGCUUUAUUUUAAAACUAUUCCUAAUAUAAAUACACCUUCCCUUCAAGCUAGUUUUCCUUGUUUCCUAAUGCCCUUUAUAUAGGAACCUAAAGUUGGGGAAAGUUCAUUGGUCACCUUGCAGAUUCUAAAUUAGUUCCAUUGAAGGGACAUGACUGUAAUGCUGCCUGUAGUGAUUCAAGAAUAUUAAUGACAGCCUCAGGCAGAGAUUGUUAGGAACCAAGACACAAAUCCUAAAUUAGUUUUGAGUUCUAUGCUUAGAUUUCAUCUACAAAUUACCAAGUGUAAACUACUUUGGCACAAUAAUAUCCUUAAUAUUGAGUCACAGAUAUUGCCCUCUGUUACUCCGAUCUGUCUCGCCACCCAGGUGAGCCUACUUUUGUGAUAGAUGGUCCCUUACACCAAGAAUCAUAGAAAUAUUCAGGUUACUCUGAGUCGCAAAGGACCAGUCACUUACCCCAUGUCAAUUGUAGCUUAGAUCUCACACCAAAGACAACGCUUGUAGCCAAACUAUAUAAAGAUUUAUAAAAUAGGAAGAAGAAACCAGAGAGUUAUUUAAAAGGUUAAAGCAGGUAAACAUAUACACAAAUGAGUUACGAUCCUAAGUUUCAAAACAUAAUACAAGCUUCUGUAAUCAGCAAAGUUUGUAUGUCCUUUAGAGCUAACUCAGGCUAAGCAGCUGGGGAUCUUUUGCUUUUACCUAGAAACACUUUGCAUCCUACCCCCCACCCCAGAAUUCAAGAAGCUUAGAGAUAAUCAGCUCCUUCUUGUUAGGAAUUUUUAUCCCACUCUUGCCAUGUGCUUUGAGUUGCAAACUCAGCUGAUGGGAGGAAUCCACUAGCAUGACUCAUCUUCACAGCAGACGGGUGAGGGAGAAAGCAGAACAACAAACAUCCUUUGUCCUCUUUAACAUGCCACAAUAGUUUGUCUUGCGUCGAUUGACCUUGCUUGUUGGGAAGGACGUAAUGCCUUCUGUUGAUAAGCCCUUCAUGCUAAUUAACAUCUCUCUCCUUUCUGGUGAUUUGCACAAUCACUGAGGCUCACAAUACAGCCACUCAAACAUUACCCGACAAUAUGGGAUACAGAUGUUAUAAGUGAGAUUAAUGCAUGCAGCAACCCACAAGCAUUCAAUAAAGUCUAAACACAUUCUUAUAAUUCUAAUACCUAUUUUAACAAUUCUAGCCUACAAGUGAGCCAGACUGAUUCCAGAUAUGUAUUUUUUAGUGUUUAAUUGAGACUUGGGGACUCUGGUAUGAGUGGGCGCUGGUCUGAGCACUUCCUAAUGACCUUUUAAGAAAUUCCAUUUGUUUCACUGUUCAUACAUUAGUAGUCUCACCAAAAUCUACAUACUGGUACCCCUAGUAUAUACUAUUAACAGGCAAAAAAUUGUAAUCUGAAGUUAAUCUGUAAAUAUUUAUCACUUUAAUGUGGUUGGGGAAGGGAACUUUGAGAACAUUAUAGUUCUGUAGUUUCUGGGUCCUGUAUCACCACCAUUCUUCAGACCAUAUUUGGCCUUCAGUUACACGCUAUUAUAUUCAAAUUCUGCUAUCAGUUACAGAAUUUGGAGUUACAUAGGUGUAAGUGAGGCAGACUUUGUGUGCAAUUAGAACUUAAUCAUGGUGUAUCAUUGAAGAUGUAGUCCAGCCGAGGAACCCAUCCCAUAGAAAAGAAUGGGGACAUGAGGAACCUGAACUACAAUUCCCAUGAGGUACUGUGGCAAAAACUUUCUGUUUUUGUAAAUUAUUUUUUUUGAACUACAGUCAAUUUUCUGUGGCAAGUAGACACUUUGUGAAAAAUUGUCAAGUCAAAAAACAAGUUGCGUCAAAAAAAGGUUUAGAAAGAAAAGUCUUGACCAGCCCCAGUUGUAAUCUUUCAUGUUUUUCUCAGUGACUUCAGCAUCCAAUUUGCUAAGUUUACUGUAAAAACUUUUUUUUCCUACCAGCAGAUUUUGAUAUGCCACCUGGAUUUGAUAGCCAAAUAGAUUUUUAUUUUUUUUUUCUGGCUCAUCCUCAUCCUUAGGAAUAGAUUCUGCAAGUCAAAUUAUGCCCUUAGCUACCUUAAAAAAAAAAAACAACAAUCCAACUAUUUACAAUACACGUUACUAACAGAGCUGUCCCAAUUCAUCACCAUGUUCAUUUGCUAGUACAGUAUGUUGUAUCCCCAUCCCCUACCCUUCAGCUGUUUUGUCUUUAGAUUGCAAACCUUUCGGGAUAGGGAUUGUUUGUACAAUGUCCAGCAUAAUAGGUGCAUCCACAAAGCAGAGUUUCACAGGUGUUAGCUUAUGGCAGAAUCUGGCUUUGUAGUGGGUACUUAGCAAAUAAUUCUGUUCAUGUUUGAAUUAGAUUAGAAAAUAACAUAUUUUCUUAGCUGUGUUGCUUCUGCAUUGGCAACAGGAGUAAAAGUAGGAAAAAGUGAGUAGAUCAGACUUUACACACACAGGUAGCCAGAUCCAUUGGGAUAGAACUUAGAAUGUAAGUCUUCGGGGCAGGUCCCAUGUCUAAUUACUUGUCCAUAGAGCACCUCAUACUAGAUGCAAUAUAAACAAGGCCCCAUGCCCAGGUACGUGAAAUUUGCCACAGAAUCUGAGCUUUUUGCUUUAAAAAUGUGGGGGAGGGAAAGGAAGUUUCCAACCCUUAAGUAAAUUAUUUCCACCGAAGAUAAGCUUCCAGAUGUUAACAAGAAAUGUUGUCUACCUGAAUGUGCAGAGUGACCACCUGAAGUCGGGAUAAGAGACGUUGAACUACCCCAAUCAUCUUAAUAGGUUGUUGACUCUGAAAUCUAGGUAUAAUUUAAAUAGCAACAUUAAUUAUUUCAUUGCCUAUCAUUUUAGCAGAAACCUACAAGUAUGGUGCUUAUCCAUUGUUGGAAUUACUAGCGGGGAAGCUGGGAUGGGGAAAUAGGAGUCCAAGGGCUUGUCUACACUACUGCGCAGGUUGAUCUAAGAUACGCAACUUCAGCUACGUACUUAGAUCUACUUAUUGCGGUGUCUUCACUGCGCUAAAUUGAUAGCUAACGCUCUCCCGUCAACUCCACUUGUGUUCUUCAUUCUGGUGGAGUACUGGAGUUGACAGGAGAGCGCUCAGCUAGCUAUACUAGAUGUGAUAAAUCGACCCCCGCUGGAUCGAUUGCUGCCCGUCGAACUGGCAGGUAGUGUAGACAAGCUCUAAGCCUUCUUCAUCCCCCACAAAAAUAUCAAGUCAUUUCCAACUUAGCCUGCAAGAGGGAAUGAAAGAAUAUGCACCUUCCCCAUGUGCUAUAAUCCUCAACCUACAUGCCAAAAGCUCAACCUUCCUCUUAUCCAGCAGUUUAAGCCUUCAGUUUUCUCUUGAAAAUUUCGAUAGUGCCAUUAACAUGAAAUAGCAAAAAUAAAACAAGGAAUACUAUGCUGAUUGUAUUAUUUCCUGUAAAAGACCCCGUUUUAGUUUAUCUGAAGCUUGCUACAGACUUCAGUACUUGUUUAUUUAGGUUGGUUACAUUUUCUUUCAUAACAGAGUGUAGCAUAUGAUGUAAUUCUGUCUUAGUAGUGCAGUGUUAACGGCCCAGUUUUGAGAAUAAUUUCAACUCUGGUUUAUAAGGCAUGUAAAUGCUGUUAUAGGAAGGCAAAGGAAGUUGAGGGGAUUCAAACAGCUUAAACGUGCAUGUCAGCACAACAGGAUGAGUAAAUCCUUUUCCUUCCUGGACUAGCAGUUUAGGACAGAAACUGUGUUCUAAGGCUUAGCUAAAAACUGAUUUCUAACGUUUUUUCUUUUCCAAUUUGAACAGACUGGUAUAUGGACCGAACUUAACAAGAUUGAGCAAAAUUUCUUAAAGCCUUUGCACACAGGACUUAAUAUGUCAAAAGCACAUUAUGAAGCAGAAA
Dermochelys coriacea (leatherback sea turtle) is the source of this 7835-nucleotide RNA transcript. It is a transcript of the gene named glomulin, FKBP associated protein, with no coding region annotated. NCBI's taxonomy places the organism in Eukaryota, Metazoa, Chordata, Testudines, Dermochelyidae. The transcript has 17 exons. The record is from RefSeq and is a predicted model, not a curated record.